GAGGUGGGAGGAUCCCUUGAGCCCAGGAAGUUGAGGCUGCAGUGAUUACUGAUUGCACCACUGCACUCCAGCCUGAGUGACAGAGCAAGACCCUGUCUCA
RNAcentral lists this microRNA precursor (100 nucleotides) under Cebus imitator (Panamanian white-faced capuchin). Its description in RNAcentral is "miRNA (ENSCCAG00000015802.1)". Lineage: Eukaryota; Metazoa; Chordata; Mammalia; Primates; Cebidae. The record is from RNAcentral.